GACAGGGUCUUGCUCUGUUGCCCAGGCAGAAGCACAGUGAUGUGAUCAUGGCUCACUGCAGCCUCAACCUCCUGAGCUCAAGUGAUCCUUCCAUCUCAGCCUCCCAAGUAACUGGGACCACAGGCAGAUGCCACCAUGCCCAGUGACUCCGUUCACAUGCUCCCGUCUUGUCAUCAAGCCCUGUUCAUCUCUCACCAUCUCUCACCUGGACCAUUGCCAGUUUCUGAGCUGCCUGCUCUUGAAUACCAGCUUCCUGAAAAUAUCACCAAAACGAUCUGGUCCUCAGACAAAGCAGAGUCUAUUGCUCACUGCAGUAACAGAGAGCUCCGUCUUCAGAGUCUUGGUAACAUUUCGCUGAGAGGACAACCCAAUCACACUGUUUAGGAGAUUUUGGAUUCUGACUAAGGUGCCUGGAGCAAAAAUGUGUCCAGAAUUGGUGGGUUGUUGGUCUCGCUGACCUCAAGAACGGAGCCGUGGACCCUCGCGGGACAAGGGGAGUCAGAGGCAGAAGAGAAGGUGUUGUGAUGACAGAAGCAGAGAUCUGAGUGACUCACUUUGAAGAUGGAGGAAGAGGUCACAGGCCAAGUGAUACAGAUGCCAGGAGAAGCUGAAAACAGGAGGAAAUGGAUUCUUCCCUCAGAGCUUCUGGAAAAGAUCAGUCUUGCUGAUAACUUGACUUUAGCCCACUGAAACUGAUUUUGAACUUUUGACUUCCAGAACUGUAAGAGAAUAAUUUUGUGUUAUUUCAGUUACUAAGUUAGUGGCAAUUUGUUAUAGCAGGAAUAGGAAAUUAAUACAGUGCUGAAGUAGAAGUUAUGUUGCAUUUAUAUAUUAGUUUCCUGAAAACUGACACUUUUAUAGUAUUUGUUUUCCCAUUCAAGAACAUAGUUUCCUUUCUUUUGUUCAGACUCUGUUUUACUUUUUUCAAUAAAAUUGUGUGUGUAUGUGUGUGUGUCCCCAUAUGGGAUUUGCUUUUUCUUGCUAUAUUUAUUCUGAAAUAUUUUAUGUUUUACCAUUGUUGUGAAGGAAAUAUUUUUCCAUGUUUCUACUUCUAUGUACUUAUUGUUAAGAUAUAGAAAAAGCUGACCGGGCACAGUGGCUCACACCUGUAAUCCCAGCACUUUGGGGGGCCGAGGCGAGGUUAGUUAGAGACCAGCCUGGCCAACAUGGUGAAACCCCAUCUCUACCAAAAAAUACAAAAAUUAGCUGGGCAUGGUGGCAUGUGCCUAUAGUCUCAACUACUUGGGAGGUUGAGGUGGGAGAAUUGCUUGAACCCAGGAGGCAGAGGUUGUAGUGAGCAGAGAUCAUGUCACUGUAC
RNAcentral lists this long non-coding RNA (1318 nucleotides) under Homo sapiens (human). RNAcentral's name for it is "HSALNT0150536". Lineage: Eukaryota; Metazoa; Chordata; Mammalia; Primates; Hominidae. The record is from RNAcentral.